Molecule: non-coding RNA, 115 nt
Organism: Acanthosepion pharaonis
Lineage: Eukaryota; Metazoa; Mollusca; Cephalopoda; Sepiida; Sepiidae
Source: the annotation of a GenBank genome assembly
UUAUGGUCAUAUCGGUUUCAAACAGCAGCUCCCAUAUGAUCAAUGAAGUUAAGCAACACUGUGCUUGGUCAGUACCUAGAUGAGUGACUGCCUGGGAAUACCAGCAGCUGUAAGC